CCUACGGGAGGCAGCAGUGAGGAAUAUUGGUCAAUGGACGGAAGUCUGAACCAGCCAUGCCGCGUGCAUGAAGACGGCUCUAUGAGUUGUAAACUGCUUUUGUACAAGGGUAAACCUGAAUACGUGUAUUCAGCUGCACGUACUGUACGAAUCAGGAUCGGCUAACUCCGUGCCAGCCGCCGCGGUAAUACGGAGGAUCCGAGCGUUAUCCGGAUUUAUUGGGUUUAAAGGGAGCGUAGGUGGUUUGUUAAGUCAGUUGUGAAAGUUUGCGGCUCAACCGUAAAAUUGCAGUUGAAACUGGCAGUCUUGAGUACAGUAGAGGUGGGCGGAAGUCGUGGUGUAGCGGUGAAAUGCGUAGAUAUCACGAAGAACUCCGAUUGCGAAGGCAGUUCACUGGACUGCAACUGACACUGAGGCUCGAAAGUGUGGGUAUCAAACAGGAUUAGAUACCCUGGUAGUC
Molecule: ribosomal RNA, 460 nt
Filed under: uncultured bacterium
Lineage: Bacteria
Description: partial 16S ribosomal RNA
Rfam family: Bacterial small subunit ribosomal RNA
Source: RNAcentral